GCUGUAGACCAUGAUCCGGUCCAUGUAUAGUUGACCAGAGGGACGCGUCAUGACGUUACGGAGCGGGAGCCGCAAGAUUAGGGCAAGAGAUGGCGUUGUAACCAAGGACAGCACCAAAAGGAGAUGUAAGAAUGACCGAGUGAGGACAGUAGAUACAUUUACCACCAUUCUGACAGCAGACUUACGCAAGGCCUGUUUCAAGAUCAGGGACGUGGCUGUCACUGAGGUUGUCCAAGACAGACCCGAUGCUAUACUACUGUUGAAAAAGACAAAGCAGUUUUGUUUGGCAUGGCUAAGUAUUGACUGACACUGUCAAAACGGUGUGACUUAUUUCUUGCCUGUUGUCUGAGAAACAGUAAUGCCAGUCAUUGGACAUGUGACAGUGACAGCUUAAUUGCCAAAAUAGGAACAAAAAUUUGAUGUCGAGCCAAGGACAACACAAAGUUGGCACCAUAUUGGAUUUACAGACCGACUGUACAAACUUGGCAACAGCAAAAUAAGCCAGUGACAGCAAGGACGAGUCUGUGACAGUAUGCCUAGCCACAUAUCUGCCUCUGCUAUAAUGAUAAUGAAAGGAUGAAUGCCAGCAGGAUGACUAAGUGACAGAAACUUUCAUGUGUAAUAGCCUUAAGAAUUUAUGAUCGUCCUAAUGGUUUUAGCCUUCUGUUUCAGCGUGGUUUUAAGAUUGAAAGACCGGGAUGUCACAGAGGUCUGGAAAAACUAUGGCUAACUGGGGUGCACUUGCAUCUGGAACACCUGCUGUGAAAGAGGGCUGGGGACACACCAAGAAUAAUAUUCUUUCCAGCCAUGUUGCCAGUGCCACAAAGAACAGAACUGAAGUUGGUUCCAGUUUAAAUAUGAACUUGAAUUAUCAGAGGCUGUCAUGUUUCAUGAGAAAUACACUGUGCUGUGAAGCAUGCAUUUUGAAAUGAUUCCUUUUGCCUGUGAUCUGAGCCUGUGCGAGACAAUGAUGCAGAUCAUAGAACUCGGUGUGACGGUGACAGCUGGUUAGGAAGAAGACUGUCAAUACAUGUGUAAAAAAAUUCAGAACAAAAUUUGGCUUCAGUCGAGAUGUCCCUGCAGUGAAAAGCUUGAGGUGUUACCAAUUCUUGACUGAUUAUCUGGAGAUGGUGUUGAGUAUCAUCACAUUAAUACACCAUCCAAGGCAUUUUGUGAUGAAUAACAGCAGUAGUUCCCUCUGUGGACUGAAGGUAGGUUGGCCUAAACAAGGCAUAAGAAACUGGACAACAACGCACCAAUUCUCAACAUUUUAUCUUGCUAAAUGUAUGUAACAAGUUACUGCCAACUAUUCACAGAGUCUGAGCAAACGUGAUGGUUGAUUUUGUUUAGAAAAAGUUCUUAAUGAAAACUGGUCCUUUCCAGCUCCUCCAUGAGAAGGCACAGACUGGAAAAGAGAAAAGCUGCCGCACCAUCGUCCUGGUAGCAAGCUAAGCUUUGGUUCACCAGUUAUACAGAACAUGCAGGACAUUGUGAACACUGAGAAUAUAACGAAGAACUGAGUGGCGCCGAAAAUCACUGAAGAUUUACUUUUUCAGCUAAGAAUGACUUUGUAGGCCUAAAGGUUUAGAAGUUAUACCUAAAUUGAAGGUGACCUUCUCAAGCGAGGAACCAACGUCUUGGUAUUGCAGCCACUGUAGCUUAGGUAGUAUAGUGACCUACAUGAAGUUGUUUUUAGUUAUUAAAGUCCAUGGGGUUAGUCGCAUUUAACCUGGACUCUGUUGGACUGGGUGAACGUGAUAAAAUAAUUAAGACCGAUUUACAAAUGAAAUGAAGAAUCUGCAUUUUGGUGCAACUGCAUUUCUUGCUUUGAAGCAAUAUUUUGUGGCAAUGUUCAGGUCUUUUCUUCGCGGGCAAAUCUGCAUACCAGUAAUUAUGUGCAGACUUGGCUCUUCCAGAGAUUGUAGGACUGGGUCCAUUGAAUGUAACAAAAAUAAUCGAUGCCUAUUUACAAAUGAAAUGAAGAGUCUGCAUUUUGAUGCAACUCCAUAUAACUGUCGGGUGAUUUCGCUCUGAACUUGUGACACUCUGAUCGGUCUGAAAUAAUCAUUAUCCCGCCCCUCUGGGAAAAAUUUGCAGCCAGAUUGCACCAUUUCCUGUUACCGUCUGAGAGAUGGCGAUGUCAGGGGCGCAUGACGGUGGUUAAACCUAUUGCGAAUGGGCAGCACAAUUGGGUGUAGGAUAUUCAUAAACCAUUGCACACUCCUGAAUCUGCGGUGGGUUGGUACCCCACGCUACGUAAGGAGUAGGUUUCUGGGUAAGACUUGGUCCUCGUGAAUAGGUCGUGCCUUAAAAAUGAUGAGAAGUUGCGAAUUGACGCCCUGUGAAGUGUCCUUCGACCAGCUAGUGCUAAUCCGGUCACUGUCUCCAGGUCACCAUGCCUCGGUCAAUGAGUGGGCGAAGCACCCAAUGGCUCCGUCAGGAGUACAUCGUCAACUUCAGCCCGUAGUCAAACCGGUACGCGCACAAAUAUCUUAGCUGAGAGUGGGGGACAUCAGUAAGUGCUUCUAAUCGGGGUAAUACAGUAUUGACCCCAUUUUUUGUUGGAUUCAUUUCCACCGAGGAGUGGUCGAUAAUGAGAAUUUCAGGCCAGUCUGAUUAUCACCAGUACAGAGGGCAAUUAUCUAAUAGUUGUGUGGCAUUCCUUCAAACUGUUUACUCUUUCGUGUCAUUUAUAAAUUCAUGUUGAUCAUUUUACCUCACAUCUCAUGGGCAGAAAGAAGAGUCUGGUGGAGUCCUGAUGCUCCCUGAUGUUGGUUUCACUCUGGUCAGUUUCGUGAUUCCUUUUACCACAAGCAGACCCAUUUAGGCCUACAACCUGUCAUUGUUGUAAAUUUCAA
Long non-coding RNA from Lineus longissimus, 2858 nucleotides. RefSeq lists it as uncharacterized. NCBI's taxonomy places the organism in Eukaryota, Metazoa, Nemertea, Pilidiophora, Heteronemertea, Lineidae. The transcript has 3 exons. The record is from RefSeq and is a predicted model, not a curated record.